ACAACAUUCUAAACGUCGGUCUACCGAGCAAUUUUACCCACUCGGUGGAAGAUCUUUCUUUUGUCGU
RNAcentral lists this microRNA precursor (67 nucleotides) under Bombyx mori (domestic silkworm). Its description in RNAcentral is "mir-2774 microRNA precursor family". It matches the Rfam family "mir-2774 microRNA precursor family". Lineage: Eukaryota; Metazoa; Arthropoda; Insecta; Lepidoptera; Bombycidae. The record is from Rfam by way of RNAcentral.